RNAcentral lists this ribosomal RNA (324 nucleotides) under uncultured eukaryote. Its description in RNAcentral is "partial 18S ribosomal RNA". It matches the Rfam family "Eukaryotic small subunit ribosomal RNA", at positions 1470 to 1796 of the family's 1831-position model. The record is from RNAcentral.
CCCUUAGAUGCUCUGGGCCGCACGCGCGCUACACUGGUCGAUGCAACGAGUUUCUUUCCUUGGCCGACAGGCCUGGGCAAUCUUUGAACAUUGAUCGUGAUCGGGAUAGAUUCUUGUAAUUUUUGAUCUUAAACGAGGAAUUCCUAGUAAACGCAAGUCAUCAGCUUGCAUUGAUUACGUCCCUGCCCUUUGUACACACCGCCCGUCGCACCUACCGAUUGAAUGGUCCGGUGAAAUCUCCGGACUGGCGUGAGUCGGAGCAAUCUGACAAACACCGGAAAGUUGAUUAAACCUUACCAUUUAGAGGAAGGUGAAGUCGUAACA